This 483-nucleotide ribosomal RNA is filed under the name uncultured bacterium. RNAcentral's name for it is "partial 16S ribosomal RNA". It matches the Rfam family "Bacterial small subunit ribosomal RNA", at positions 30 to 507 of the family's 1533-position model. The record is from RNAcentral.
UUGAACGAUGGCGGCAGGCCUAACACAUGCAAGUCGAGCGGAUGAAGGGAGCUUGCUCCUGGAUUCAGCGGCGGACGGGUGAGUAAUGCCUAGGAAUCUGCCUGGUAGUGGGGGAUAACGUCCGGAAACGGGCGCUAAUACCGCAUACGUCCUGAGGGAGAAAGUGGGGGAUCUUCGGACCUCACGCUAUCAGAUGAGCCUAGGUCGGAUUAGCUAGUUGGUGGGGUAAAGGCCUACCAAGACGACGAUCCGUAACUGGUCUGAGAGGAUGAUCAGUCACACUGGAACUGAGACACGGUCCAGACUCCUACGGGAGGCAGCAGUGGGGAAUAUUGGACAAUGGGCGAAAGCCUGAUCCAGCCAUGCCGCGUGUGUGAAGAAGGUCUUCGGAUUGUAAAGCACUUUAAGUUGGGAGGAAGGGCAGUAAGUUAAUACCUUGCUGUUUUGACGUUACCAACAGAAUAAGCACCGGCUAACUUCGUG